Molecule: ribosomal RNA, 157 nt
Filed under: uncultured bacterium
Lineage: Bacteria
Description: partial 16S ribosomal RNA
Rfam family: Bacterial small subunit ribosomal RNA
Source: RNAcentral
UCGGGAAUUUUGGGCAAUGGGCGAAAGCCUGACCCAGCAACGCCGCGUGAAGGAUGAAAUCCCUCGGGAUGUAAACUUCGCAAGAACGGGGAGAAUAAGCCGGUGUGAACACCACCGGCGAUGACGGUACCGUUUGUAAGCUCCGGCUAACUCCGUG